RNAcentral lists this ribosomal RNA (460 nucleotides) under uncultured bacterium. Its description in RNAcentral is "partial 16S ribosomal RNA". It matches the Rfam family "Bacterial small subunit ribosomal RNA", at positions 338 to 795 of the family's 1533-position model. The record is from RNAcentral.
CCUACGGGUGGCAGCAGUGAGGAAUAUUGGUCAAUGGACGAGAGUCUGAACCAGCCAAGUAGCGUGAAGGAUGACUGCCCUAUGGGUUGUAAACUUCUUUUAUCUGGGAAUAAAAUGUUCCACGUGUGGGCUUUUGUGUGUACCAUAUGAAUAAGGAUCGGCUAACUCCGUGCCAGCAGCCGCGGUAAUACGGAGGAUCCGAGCGUUAUCCGGAUUUAUUGGGUUUAAAGGGAGCGUAGGUGGAUUGUUAAGUCAGUUGUGAAAGUUUGCGGCUCAACCGUAAAAUUGCAGUUGAAACUGGCAGUCUUGAGUACAGUAGAGGUGGGCGGAAGUCGUGGUGUAGCGGUGAAAUGCUUAGAUAUCACGAAGAACUCCGAUUGCGAAGGCAGCUCACUGGACUGCAACUGACACUGAGGCUCGAAAGUGUGGGUAUCAAACAGGAUUAGAUACCCCUGUAGUC